UACGAAGGGGCUAGCGUUGCUCGGAAUCACUGGGCGUAAAGGGUGCGUAGGCGGGUCUUUAAGUCAGGGGUGAAAUCCUGGAGCUCAACUCCAGAACUGCCUUUGAUACUGAGGAUCUUGAGUAUGGGAGAGGUGAGUGGAACUGCGAGUGUAGAGGUGAAAUUCGUAGAUAUUCGCAAGAACACCAGUGGCGAAGGCGGCUCACUGGCCCAUUACUGGACGCUGAGGCACGAAAGCGUGGGGAGCAAACAGGG
This 254-nucleotide ribosomal RNA is filed under the name uncultured bacterium. RNAcentral describes it as "partial 16S ribosomal RNA". It matches the Rfam family "Bacterial small subunit ribosomal RNA", at positions 524 to 777 of the family's 1533-position model. The record is from RNAcentral.